GAGGGUAUAGCUCAGUGGUACAGCGCAUGCUUAGCAUGCACAAGGUCCUGGGUUCAAUCCCCAGUGCCUCCA
RNAcentral lists this transfer RNA (72 nucleotides) under Camelus bactrianus (Bactrian camel). It matches the Rfam family "tRNA". Rfam says of the family: Transfer RNA (tRNA) molecules are approximately 80 nucleotides in length. The record is from Rfam by way of RNAcentral. RNAcentral also lists the same sequence under 1 other name. Lineage: Eukaryota; Metazoa; Chordata; Mammalia; Artiodactyla; Camelidae.